Molecule: long non-coding RNA, 2813 nt
Organism: Lycium ferocissimum
Lineage: Eukaryota; Viridiplantae; Streptophyta; Magnoliopsida; Solanales; Solanaceae
Exons: 3
Source: RefSeq, a predicted model, not a curated record
GCUAACUUUGCCGCUAGAAUUACAAGAAAAGUAGAUAAAACAAUCCAAAGCUUUAAUCUGCCCUGGCCCAUUUAAUAUUUUGAAAAUAGAAGUUUUGACCCGCCCUGCCCUGCCCCACCCUGUUUAGCAUUUGUCCUGCCCUGCCCCAUUUAAUAUUUGCCCUGCGCUGCCCCGCCCUGCCCUGUCCUGUCCCAUUGUGGCCCUAGCAACGAAAGAGAGGAUUGUGACUGCAUAUUGAGGGAAGCGGAGAAGAAGAUGUGCAUCUAAAUUUUUGAAGGGAAAUUAGGAUUUGAGAUAUGUGGUAAAAUUGUAGAAGGGAAAUAGGAUCAAAGGUUCGCGUUGAGAUGCACAAAGAUAAUAAAGGGGAACGGGAAAAUGCAGUAACGAACAAAGUUUGCAUUGAUUGGAAACACAUGUAAGCCAGUAAUAACCAAAGAGGAACAACAUCAAUACUCAAUGACGAAUUCGGAAACAGCCUCCCUACCGACAAAGGUAAGGAUAAGGUCUGUGUACAUCCUAUAUUCCCCAGACCAAACUUGUGGGACUAAACUGGGUUUGUUGUUGUUGUUGAAUUUUCGCAUGAAUUUCUUCUGAAUAGAUCUUCCAAAACACUAUUGAAUAUAGCUAUUUUACUUGCAUAUUGUCACGGUCUUCGCUGUCUUGCAGGACUCUAGUUAUUAAAGACAUCAGAGGUAUGAUUUCAAGAAUACGUGAACUUGGCAAGUUUGUGCCUUUCAAUAGACAAGUUUUAAUUUAACAAGUGAUGUAUUUGAUGUAUGUGAUUACAUAAGUAGACUUUAUAUUUUAAAACAAACUUUGUUUAUUAGUUUACAGAAGAAAUUGUUGAAAUUAUUUCUUCUUUAGGAGGAUAAAUCAGACGAGCCACUAGUACAUUAGGAGUACUAAAAUUGUGGACUCCGUGCAAAGCAUAGCAAAACAAUUAGUAAAAUAAAACAGAUAAAGGGAGCUCAGGGAAUUUGCUAGUGCACCGAGUCAGCUAUUUCAAUUUCUGGUUUGUACUUCAAUUUCUGUCUCAACUGGACGUAGGUCUACUCUAGUUUCUUUGUAGCCACAUUCUCGCAUGCGUCACCGUCAGCUUUCGCAGUUCCCGGCCUGUCUGUACUAAAAUUUCUGUAGCAACCGAAUGUAUCUCUAUACGGGUUUGUUUAUAGACGUAUCUCUUGCCUUCCCUGUUUGCAUUAUUCUCACUAUAAAAUAUUCAAAACAAGUAUGUGGGAAUAUAAUAGGAACUCAUCAAAUGGUUUUUGUAUAUACAGCUGAGUGAAAUAUAAACGCGAGAAAUUGAUGGCCAGAGAGAUGCAUCAGAAACAGGCUAAGUCUACCUUAAGCUUUUCUCUAAUGUCAUUAGUUCCUAUGCAUAUUUUCACUCACCUUGACUAUUUUACGUGGUAUGUGUAUCCUCCCACUGAUACUUAUCAGGUAUAAACUAACUAUAAAAAAGGACAGCCCGGUGCACUAAGCUCCCGCUAUGCGCGGGGUCCGGGGAAGAGCCGGACCACAAGGGUCUAUUGUACGCAACCUUACCUUGCAUUUCUACAAGAGACUGUUUCUACGGCUUGAACCCGUAACCUCCAGGUCACACGGCAGCAACUUUACCAGCUAACUAUGUGAACCAAAAUUUACUAGAUAGUAAGCAAUCACCUGGUUAUUUUGUUCUAUUGGAUUUGAUCAGUGUCCAUUGAUCUAUACUCUUUAAAUGACCGAAGACAAGCUUUGGGAGCUUGAGUCUACGUUGAUUGGAUUAGGUAGCAAAGUUUAUUGCUUUCUGCUCAUUAAAUUUGUACGGUGAGACUAUCAUGGUUAAGAUCAUGUAUUUUCUUGCCACAUAGAAGAUUAGUUGCAGCAUUGAUUUGUGAAUCCCAACGAAUGAUUUCGAAUGUUGAAGCUAAUUAUCCGAUCUUGUUUGACAUGCAUUAUAGGCAAAAGAGAUAGCCAGAGAAGAUCAAAGUUUUGCCAAAGUUUUUCUACACCAACUAUAAGCUGGCUGGGAGAUCGGAUGAUUUGUAUGAAUCUUAGUACUGUUAAUGUUAAAAUUUUAAUGAUGACAAGUUUAUUAUGUAGGUACAAUACUCAAAGAUGCCAGUGGGCCCGUUGGAUGUACACAGCCCACAAAGUUGUGUAAACGCUCAGCCUAGUCGCUUACGUGAAGGAAAUCAAGAAGAGUUAUGCUAACACUCACUUAUGGAAGCAACACCUAAUUAUUAAGAAGAUAUCAAUCAAGUAUCAUUAAGAGAUCUUUCCUUAUAUCAAGGGAAGGUAAAUCGAGUUAACAAGGAUUCGAUUACUCAGCAAUCAAUCAAGAGACUUUCAACACCAAUCAAAUCUGCUCCAAUAAGCAAACAAGUAGCAAGUUCAGCGGUGCCAAAGCCGUUAGGGUUUGACCUCGAGGAAAUCAAGGAAGGAAGAUCCAUCGGCAUUAAAAGCUCUAACCUUAUUCUUGGAAAAUAGGAUUCUUAUUAUUCCUUUUUCUAAGGAUCAAAUCUCUUGGGUUGCCAACUAUGCUUCGAGCCAAAACAAACCAAGCUCAUGCUAUUUAAAGGAUCGCACCAAGAUGAAGCAAAAUAUAUUUUCGUCUCAAUUUUCAAGUUUUCUACUCUACUUUUCAUAAGCAUUGUAAUACUGAGUGAUUUACCGUGUAAACAAAAAAAGAUGAGAGAUAUUGCAUAGUUGGCGAGGCAUUGUAUCAAAAAAUUAUGAGAAUUUGAGUGUAGACGUAGGAGCUCCAUUCAAACAACCAUUGUACCAAACCUUCUUACAAAAAAAAAAAGGCAGAGAACACCCUUGCAACCCAU